GUUGGUGAUGGACAGGGAGGCCUGGCGUGCUGUGAUUCAUGGGGUCACAGAGUCGGACACAACUGAGCGACUGAACUGACUGACUGACUGAAGUGGCCUAGCACGCACGCACACAUGCAGAGCCAGAGGAGUUGCACUGUGAGGAGGGCAUCCUGUAGUAAGUCCCUCCUCUCUCACUGUAGUUUCAAGAAUCUCCAGGGAGAAUUGGCCUCUGCAAGUAAAGUUGUUCUGGAUACUGGGGCCAUAGAAGUCUCCUCAUUGGUAUAUAAAGUUCAGGGAGCAUCUUGGUUCCUCUGACACCAGUAUAUCAUGAAAUUAUUAAUUUCCCUGCCCCUGUCAUUUAGCACUGCAAAACAUCGCUUUCUCUAAAAGGAAAAAACAUCUCUUCUUGCUCCAACAAGACAUCUGACUUGAUUCCUGAAAAACAAAAUCAAAGGAAAAGAAGGGAGAGGAGCCCUAGCAGAGCAUCAAGGGACUGAAGUAUCUGAGUGGGAUGACAGAGCCACCUUCCAGUUUCGUCUUCUCAUCGUCUCUCCCAGGAGUCAUUUCAUCAGGGAAGUCAUUUUUCCAUUCACCCACUUAUUGGGCAAACAUCCACUGGCUUCUAUGGUGGGCUCAGUGCCAGGCUAGACUCCUUGAGGGUGACAACAUUUCUGGCUCUUCAGGGCUCACCUGGCCCAGGAAGAAGCUGCAGGUUCUGCAGUCCUGAGGCUCCAAGGCGGCUCCUACCCGAGUGGCAGGAAAUGUGCUGCGUGGCUUCCCCUGAAUUCUGGAGAGUCUGCUUCUGGGACUGUCUCCCCGCCCUUUCUUCCUCAUCUCGCCCUCAGUGCCUCUGCCACUCGCCUGCGUGCUCUUGGGCUUGCCUGUAGACAACGAGCAAAUGAGCCCGAAUCAGCAGAUGUUCUUCCCCCAGAGAACAGCUUCACCAGUUUUACAGACAAUCUGUGGGCUUUUUCUUUCUGCUGCAAAUGGCAGCAUCUCCUUAUAGAGUGAGGCCAAUAUUUUGGCAGGCCACAUGUACUGUUUAGAUUCAGACAGCUUUUAAUCUUCCUUCCCCCCUAGUUGUGGAUGUUCCUUUUAUUUUUUGUUGCAGUAUAUUUAUUUUGGAUCUUUUAUUUAUGUACCCAGGGAGCUGCUUCCUAGAAAGGGAGAUAGACUUUGCCAAAAUGCCCAUCUUCCGCAGGACCAGGGCCCAUAACUGUCACACAGGAUUUAAUGGAAAAUAUGAUUGCAUUGGAUUUAAUUUCUAGUAGCAGUUAAGUGUCUCCUGUAGUACUCUGCUCAUGUCAAGGGCCCUGUAAGUGUCGAUGCUAUGCUAUACUAGAGACAGCACAGCACAAAAUAAGCAUAAUGGGAAGAUGGAGUAAGUGGAGCGGACAAUGAAAAUUAAAUGAGAGAAAGCAAAGUUAAAGCAUGAAAAAAGGUUUAAUGGGGUAUUGUAGAAUUAGCUAUUGAAAGGACAAAGUAGAACAAACUAAAAAUAAAGAGGAAAUAUAACAGCUUAGACAAGAGGAGUACAGAGGCAGAGGAAAACUGGAGAGGCUCACAACAGAGCACAGUCAUCCAAGGAGACCUGCCAUAAAGAGUGAAAAUGUGUGCAGUGCCCUGAAGUGGCCAUGUGGUUUUGGAGGGGGUGAAUUACCUUCUGCUCUCCUGAAACUGCUGAUUUCACAGUGAAGAUUGCUGCCACAGCAAGAGCUGUGGGUAGAAUGUACAUUUAUUGCUGUCUCUGGAACUCCUCUUUCUUUUCCCCUGCCUGCUGGAAUCACCGUGGGAGUCUGGUGGUCCUCAGGUGGAACAUGGAGAGGCCAGAACAGAGCUGUUCAUGCUGAUAAGAGGCUAAUCCUAUGCCUUUGUCUAUUUAUAAAAUAGCAAACCCCAAACAAUGGUAAUUUUGUACUUCCAUCCAACAAUAUCCAAUAGAGAGGAAAAAGCUGGAAAAACCUGGAUUGGGCCCAGAGGUUAUUUGUUUUCCAGGCUUGGAAUAGAAGCGCCUCCCCCUCUGUAAUAUUUUUCUGCACAUAAGAAAAAGCACCCUGACUCUCCUCCCCUAAAAGGGAGAAAAAUACUUUGCUCAAGGUUCUUAUAUGGCAGUAGAACUGGGGAACAGGUCAGAGAGAGGGAGAAGAUAAAUUUUUUUUUUCUCCUUUGGAGAUGAGAGCUUAUGAGUAGAAUGUCUGUGUUUCCAUGCCUUUAAGGAGCUCAAAUUCUGUAACUUGGGUACCAUGUAGAAUUAAGAUCUUAUACAUCUUACAUCCUCUAACCUGCCAAGGUGCCCAAGGCACAGGGCGGUGAUAGUACUGGGCUCUCCCAGACCCCAGGAAAAUCCCCUGCCUUACCUUCCACAGGGAAGCAAACCAAACCUUUAUCCUCCAAUCAAAGGGAGAGGAAAUAGCUGAGGCCUCCCCUGAGGGUGAACGCUUCCCACUCUACUUCAAGCACAAGACACUGAGAUGCCCCUUUUCUCUGGGUUGGGGCUGUGCUGCCAGAGGAGGUGAAAUGCCAAGAUGGAGAGGCCUCACUUUCUCUUCCUUGGGACAAGGGUGUGGUGGCCCAGCUGCCAGAACAGCCUGUGGCUCCCACAGCCACCAGCAAACACUUGUGUCAUCCACGCUUUUUCUGAUUGGCCUUCCAGCCCCAAGACAGCUCCAGGGUAUCUCCUACCUCUUGGGCUCUGAACUAAUGCAUCUUUUGCUUAGUUUUAUCACAGGUUGGAUGGGAAAAGGGAAUGAGUCUGAAAGAAUGCUCAAACACGCUGUCAGCUCUAAAGAUAUAGAGCUGAGGAAACAAUGGAAGAAAAACUUGACACUCUGAGGUGCUUUGGGGAAGGUGGCUGGGUAGAUUAAAAAAAGUGGCCAGGAGGUAGCUCUGGGGGCUGGAAAAAGAGACUCUGAAACCAAUGAAGUGGGAAAGUUAGUAUGUGAGUGGAUGUUGGUCCGACAGCAGCUUGGGUUACCAUAACGCUUGUCAUGUCCCAGGAACGGCACCCAUUCUGCAUUUGCUUCUGCCCUGUUGCCAUACCCUCUGUAACUCUAACAUUCUUGUUGGUUAUGUGGGGUUUGUGACGAGUCUCUGGUAGAAAGUGGGCAUGGGUAUAGGGCCAAGGGCUGGGAUAAAUACAAUGUUAUCCAUAUAUCAUAUUCACCACAGCUGGGGACACAAUAGUUACAAGUGGUUGUUUAAUGAUGACCACAGUGCCGCUGUGUUCAAGUCUAGUUUAGAAUGCAGGUGCUGUUAUAUUAAUCAUGGAAGUGACAAGUUAAAGGGCUGUUAACACUGAGCUGCAUAAUGAACACUUGGUAUGAGUGAAUGAAAAGAAUACUGAAUAGAAAUACAAGCUACUCAAGUUGGCAGGGCUUUAAUUGCCGAGGAGUCUGAGCGUUUGCACACGUGCGUGACUGAGAAGUCACUGUGGACUGGGACGUUACCAAAGGAGAGUGAAGGAAGAACCAUGCAGUGAGACAGUCCCGCGUGAGGAAGAACCUCAGCAAACGUCAGACGGAAGCAGCACUGUGAGUGAAAUCGCAGCCUGUGACAGAGCACACAACAUCAAUCUAAACCGACCUCAGUGUCCAGGCUGCAGGGAGAAAUCAGGGAUGCAGGAAAACAAAAGAUGCAGAGGGAAGGGCACAUGCCAAGAAGAUGGGCUGGAAGAGCACAGGGAAAGGGGAUUUUUUUGCAAGACUCAACUGAUAGACAAUCGUCUGUCUCUGUCAGAAGACCUUAUUUUUAGACAUGCCAGCUCAAGUUUCAGAUUGGUGACCCAGAGGCUGUGGUGUGCUAGGAGGAGAACUGUUGCCUCUGUUCACAAUCUGCUGUGUUUGUGUUGACUUACCACGUGGCUGGGGACUCAGCUGGACAACAUACUGAAUGCCCGGUAGAAUUCCUAAAACCACUGUCGGCCCAGAGAACCCUUUGUUAAUAAAUAUUACAGCACAAUCUGUGUUUAUUCAGGGAAGUGUGAUAGGGAAAGGAAA
Long non-coding RNA from Bubalus bubalis (water buffalo), 3977 nucleotides. RefSeq lists it as uncharacterized. The record is from RefSeq and is a predicted model, not a curated record. The transcript has 2 exons. Lineage: Eukaryota; Metazoa; Chordata; Mammalia; Artiodactyla; Bovidae.